AGUGAACGCUGGCGGUAGGCCUAACACAUGCAAGUCGAACGGCAGCACAGUAAGAGCUUGCUCUUACGGGUGGCGAGUGGCGGACGGGUGAGGAAUACAUCGGAAUCUACUUUUUCGUGGGGGAUAACGUAGGGAAACUUACGCUAAUACCGCAUACGACCUACGGGUGAAAGCAGGGGAUCUUCGGACCUUGCGCGAUUGAAUGAGCCGAUGUCGGAUUAGCUAGUUGGCGGGGUAAAGGCCCACCAAGGCGACGAUCCGUAGCUGGUCUGAGAGGAUGAACAGCCACACUGGAACUGAGACACGGUCCAGACUCCUAUGGGAGGCAGCAGUGGGGAAUAUUGGACAAUGGGCGCAAGCAUGAUCCAGCAAUACCGCGUGGGUGAAGAAGGCCUUCGGGUUGUAAAGACCUUUUGUUGGGAAAGAAAAGCAGCAGGUUAAUACCCCGCUGUUCUGACGGUACCCAAAGAAUAAGCACCGGCUAACUUCGUG
This 492-nucleotide ribosomal RNA is filed under the name uncultured bacterium. RNAcentral's name for it is "partial 16S ribosomal RNA". It matches the Rfam family "Bacterial small subunit ribosomal RNA", at positions 29 to 507 of the family's 1533-position model. The record is from RNAcentral.